UUUUUAGACCAGGGUAUCCUUUGUAUAACGGAGACGAAGUUGAGAGGUAUUUUUACACUACGAAAACGGAGUUAAGGUAUAUUUUUACACUACGGAGACGGGGUUGAGGGGUAGCCCGUGCCACCCCUUAUAAGCUUCUAAGUCCGCCCCUGCAGAUGAUUAUAUUAGUCUUUGCUCAUCAAAAUGUUUGGAAGGGAACCUUGAAGUUCCUAGGAGUUGGCCGGCAUCGAAGGAAAUUACCAGAUUUAGUUAUUUAAGCAACUGUGAAGAUGAACAAGAUUUUCGUGUUGCUGCCUGAAUUUUU
This 304-nucleotide long non-coding RNA is filed under the name Helianthus annuus (common sunflower). RNAcentral's name for it is "sRNA HanXRQr2_Chr14g0660921". The record is from RNAcentral. Lineage: Eukaryota; Viridiplantae; Streptophyta; Magnoliopsida; Asterales; Asteraceae.